Cicer arietinum (chickpea) is the source of this 1344-nucleotide RNA transcript. RefSeq lists it as uncharacterized. Lineage: Eukaryota; Viridiplantae; Streptophyta; Magnoliopsida; Fabales; Fabaceae. The record is from RefSeq and is a predicted model, not a curated record.
CAGUACAGUAUAUUAAAAAAGCUAGCAGUUUAAUAACAGUUAUGAUAAUUAUCUGGACGGUGUUCCUUCUUUGAUGGCCAUUCUUUUAUCCAAUUUUGGCAUUGCCAAUACCAAACCCUUCAUCUCUUUCACCUCAAAACCCAUCAUUUCUUCUCUCAAUCUCAACCCUACCUCCAAAAGGCACUUCAUUCUCCAAACUUCUUUGCUCUCCGUUGGAUUUUCCUUUGGCAUUUCCCUAACUCCUCAACUUCCACUUGCUCUUUCAUCUUCCUCGCUUCUUUCUUCCAUUGAAAAUACCAAUUCUUGGUUUCGAUUCUAUGGCGAUGGCUUUGCUAUUCGAAUUCCACCACAGUUUCAGGAUGUCUUGGAACCUGAGGAUUUUAGUGCUGGAAUGUCUCUUUAUGGAGACAGGGCAAAGGAGAAGAAAGUCGUAGCACGGUUUGUAUCUUCAGAUGGAUAUGCGGUUCUGAAUGUUAUUACUCGGCCAACCAGUCAACUUAAAAUCACCUUCUUAGAGGCUCAGGAUAUAACUGGUUUAGGCUCCUUGAAGGAAGCGGCAAAAUUAUUUGUUCCAGUUCUUGGUUUUGGCGUCUCAUUUCGCCCACGAUGUACAUGCAGGAGGGUCAACUCUUUACUCAGCAAGAUCAAUAAAAAUUAAGGAAGAAGAUGGUUUUAGGACUUACUAUUUCUAUGAAUUUGGUAAAGAUGAGCAGCACUUAGCAUUGAUGGCAGGCGUAAGAAGUGGAAAGGCUAUUAUUGCUGGCGCAACUGCAUCACAGUCCAAGUGGGACACUGAUGGUGUAAAACUUCGUUCUGCUGCUAUUUCAUUGACAAUUCUGUAGCUAUGUCUUGAUAUUUUUUAACUGGGUAUGCCAACUCAUAGUUUCAAUGCUUUAGUGAUAUGGUUUUCAAUAUUUUUGUAUUAAGUAAUAUUGUUCGCUAUUUUAAGUCGAGGUUUCUAUGUAAACCUCACGGAGUAUAGAAGAUCGUCAAUUUCUUUGUAAUGAGAUUAUAUAAUUUUGUAGUGUGUAUGUAUUCCCCCAAAAAAUAUGAUAUUCAAAAUGUUUCUUAGUGCAAAGACAGUAGGAGAUUCAUUCACCAGCUUCAUACUCUAAAUUUGAAUUUGAAGCUGAAGCCUGAUCCAGCUGAUGAGAGUUGAGAAUAUUGUUGUAUCAAUGUAAGCCAUUUAUGGGAUAAACAGUUAAUCAUUCUAUUUUAAGCUACUUCUUGUACUACUUCUAAUCACUUGUAUAGCAUUUCUGUUUAUAGUUUUCACAUUGAUGCUUCUUUCUGAUUUGUAACCAUUCUCUACCUGUAAUGGAUGAUCACAUUAAUUUUGUUGCA